GACGAACGCUGGCGGCGUGCCUAAUACAUGCAAGUAGAACGCUGAAGGAGGAGCUUGCUUCUCCGGAUGAGUUGCGAACGGGUGAGUAACGCGUAGGUAACCUGCCUGGUAGCGGGGGAUAACUAUUGGAAACGAUAGCUAAUACCGCAUAAGAGUAGAUGUUGCAUGACAUUUGCUUAAAAGGUGCAAUUGCAUCACUACCAGAUGGACCUGCGUUGUAUUAGCUAGUUGGUGAGGUAACGGCUCACCAAGGCGACGAUACAUAGCCGACCUGAGAGGGUGAUCGGCCACACUGGAACUGAGACACGGCCCAGACUCCUACGGGAGGCAGCAGUAGGGAAUCUUCGGCAAUGGGCGGAAGUCUGACCGAGCAACGCCGCGUGAGUGAAGAAGGUUUUCGGAUCGUAAAGCUCUUUUGUAAGGGAAGAACGAGUGUGAGAGUGGAAAGUUCCUACUGGAAGGGUAUCUUACAAGAAAGGGACGCCUAACUACGU
Molecule: ribosomal RNA, 494 nt
Filed under: uncultured bacterium
Lineage: Bacteria
Description: partial 16S ribosomal RNA
Rfam family: Bacterial small subunit ribosomal RNA
Source: RNAcentral